AAACACAAAAAUUGGUAGGGCAUGGUGGCUCACACCUGUAAUCCUAGCACUUUGGGAGGCCAAGGCAGGCAGAUCACUUGAGGUUAGAAGUUCAAGGCCAGCCUGGCCAACAUGGCGAAACCCUGUCUCUACUAAAAAUACAAAAAAUUAGCCAGGCAUGUUGAUGAGUGUCUGUAAUCCCAGCUGCUCAGGAGGCUAAGGCAGGAGAAUCUCUUGAAUCCGAUAAGAGGAGAUUGCAGUGAGCUGAGAUCACGCCACUGCACUCCAGCCUGGGCAGCAGAGCGACACUUGGUCUCAAAAAAAAAAAAAGUCUUUUAAAAUAAAUUUGUUUUUUCAAACAUCUUCAAAAUACCCAUUCUAAAGCCUCUGUCACACUAUUCUAUAAAACUAAUUUUAUCAAGACUAAAUAAAUGUUCCACUUCAUGAUUUUGUUAGGUGUUGCUACUAGCUAGGAUGCUUUCAGUUUCAAGCAACAUAAAACCUUGUCUCAAUCGACUUAAACCAGAAGGAAAAUUUAUUAUCUUACGUAUCAUGUUCCCAAGUAGGAAAUCUCUAGAAUAAAUUAAUUCACUUGCUCAAUAACAUUAUCAGAAUUUGCUCUUUUUCUUUUGUGUUUCUGCCAUACUAAACAUGCCAGAUUUGGCCAUGGCAAGCUCUCCUUAUGGUUACAAAAUGACUAAGCAGUUCCAGAUGUCCCAUGCAGACCAAGUAAUAUCCACCAGAACAAGAGAAGCCACUUCCUACUGGCAUUUUUUUAAUCAGUGAAAAAAAAAUUUCUCCAAAGUUCCUCAGAAGAUACAUAAUAAGUAAAUAUUGGAUCAAAUAUAUUCUUUAAUAAAUCACUAAAAAGGAUUCAGAUAAGCACGUUUGGUUUAGCUAAAUGCACAGCUAUAUAGAGAAGAGUGGAUUACCCAAACAAAAAUCAAUUCUGUUAGAAAGCGAGAAGGGAGAGCUAAACAACAAAAUCUGUUUGCCUUGGCUAUCUUUGCAUUAGAUUCCUUCAUUUUGAUUUGCACGGUCAUAUUACUAGAAAAGUGUUAUGUUUAAGGCUUGUCACUUUUAUUCUCUUACUCCCACUCUGUUUUCACCCCUCCCCACCUAAAGGUUUUAAAUUGCUUCAGUCUGCCCCAUCUACAAGCUCCGAGUCAGUUAUCAUGAUACAAUUAUGUGUAACAUUUUAUAAUAAUUAUAUUAAAAUUAUUGAAACCAGUAAACUAACACUGAUAUAAUAGUAUUAACUAAACUGUAGACCCUAUUCAAAUUUCACCACUUUUUCCAGUAUUGUUCUUUUUCAGUUAAAGGAACUUAUGUAGGAUCCCACCUUACAAGUAAUUAUUAAUUCUUUUUAGUCUCCUCCAAUUUGAGUUUAUCGGGCUUUCCUUGUAUUUCAUAACUUUGACACAUUUCAAGAGUACUGGCAAGUUAUUUCAUAGGAUAAACUUCAUUCACAUUUGUCUGACAUUUUCUCAUGAUUAGAAUGAGGUUAAUGCAUUUUUGGCAAUAAUACUACAGAAACAAUGUUGUGUCUUUCUAAUUACAUCAUAUCAAGAUAUUUUGAUUAUUGAGACAUCUGAUUACCUGUGAUAUUAACCUUGACCACGUGAUUAAGGUGGUGUCUGCUGGGUUUCUCCACUAUAAAGGUACUAUAUUUCCCUGUGUAAGUAAGAAAUACAAAAUACAAUUUUAGAUGAUGCAAAGAUCCUAUUUCAUUCUGAAUUUUCACCCACUAAUUUUAGCACACUUCAGAAGACGCUAAAUUAUUGCUGUGUGUCUACAAAAUUAUUACUAGGGUAUUUGCCUAAAGACAACUUUUCUUCUAUGUUUAUUAGUUGUAAUACUUCUAUAAGGAAGAUUUAUUCAUUCUCUCCCAUUUGAUUGUAAUUUUCUAUCACUAUGGACUUGAAUAUUUAUUUUAUUCAGUGUAUUAAAAUCAAAACUAUCUCCUUAUAACAUAUCCGAUAAAAAAUUUAAUUCAAAAUAGUUCACAUACACGAACAUAAAAGUUAAAACUAUGGACCAGUGCUUUGUUUUGGAAGCUCAUAAUUGAUUCAAUUUAUUUUAUAAGUUUAUGCAAGGCAGUUAUUUCUCCUUGUGUGAGUUUUGGUAGGUUGCGUCUUUCACAAAAUUGGUCCAUUUCAUCUGUUAUCAAAUUUGUACACUCAAGAGUUGCUCAUAUCAUUCCUUUAUUAUCCUUCUAAUGUCCUAAUGUUCACAAGAAGAGUAAUAAUGGCACCUCUUUUCAUUUCUGAUUUUAGUAAUUUUUGUUUUUUCUUUUGUUAUGGUAAAAGUUUUAUAAAUUUUAACUUUUCAUUGAAUUUCAUUUGUUUCACUGAAUUUCUCUAUUGUUUUUGUUUCAAUUUUAUUGAUUUCUACUCUAUUUCUUCUGCUUACUUUGGAUUUAAUUUGCUUUUUCUAAUUUCCUAAAGUAGAUGCUUAUUGAUUUUAGAUCUUUAACAUUUUCCAAUAUAUGCACUCAAUACUAUAAAUUACCCUCUAGC
RNAcentral lists this long non-coding RNA (2498 nucleotides) under Homo sapiens (human). RNAcentral describes it as "HSALNT0088746". Lineage: Eukaryota; Metazoa; Chordata; Mammalia; Primates; Hominidae. The record is from RNAcentral.